UUUUUUUUUUUUUUUUUUAUCAAUGUAGGCAAAUUUCACAUAUAAAUGACAUAAAUAAACAAGUUUGAAAAAAAAAAUGAAAAUAGACAAGUCGUGUAGUUCAAACAUGACUUCAAAUGAAAAAGUUGUGUUUCUUGCACGACUUCCACUCCAAAACCCUUGAAAAGUGAAAAUCUUCAACCCCUCCAAUAACUUUAAUGUGAUGUAAUCGAUUACAAUACAUAUGUAAUUGAUUACACUAAACUAAUUUGAAUUGAAAUUCAUUUUAGUGCAAAAUAACUUCCAAUUUGAGAAUUAAACAAUAUUAUAUACAAAUGUCAAGUGUCAAAACUAGAAUUGAAAUAAAUAGUGAGAGAGCUCGAAAAACACGAUUCAGAACUAAAAAGAUGAACUCAACCAAAUUUUAAAAGCUCGACCAAGGUGAUGUUAAACUCGGCCGGGAUGAUUUUAAGUUCGGUCAGGUUGAUGUUAAGCUUUGCAGAGCUCGACUCGAUUUCACUAAGUUCGAUCAGAGUUUAUACAGGUCGAACAAACUCAUACUAGUUUGUUCGUACUUCCAUAAAGUCUGAUGAACCUUAGUAUAGUCCAAUCGAGCUCAAUAUCUUUCCUGUCAAGCUUAACAUCAACCCAACUAAGCUUAAAAGUAGUCGGCUAAGCUUAACAUCACUUUAGCCGAACUCCUAAAAUCUAGUCGAGCUCAUCUUUUAAGUGUAUGAUCGUGUUGUCUGAGUUCUCUCUGUUAUUAUUUAUUUCAAUUUUGAUUUCUCCUUCCUUAGUAAUCAAUUACAAGUAUCAUGUAAUUGAUUACACUGCCUAUUAUCCAAUUGAAAGUCAUCUUAAAUCAAAAUGAGUUUUAACUCAAAUUAAAAAUCAACUUAAUGUAAUCGAUCACAUAUGUAUUUAAUCGAUUAAAUCACAUUGAUGAAAGUCAUAUGAGAACUAUACGAAUUGGUCUAUUUUCAUAAUUUUUUUUUUCAAAUUUAUCUAUUUUUGUAAUUUAUUGGUAAAAUUUGUUAAUGUCAAUAAGAAAAGCCCAAAUAUGAGCACAAAAAUAAAUCAUUAUUCGUUUUAAACUUAGUCGAUUCCAUAGAAUAUUUUUCACUCGAUACCUUCAUCCUUUUAUAAUGUCUGAAAUGUUUUGCAGCUUGUGUUGCCUGCCAUGUAUGAUAGUUGCAACCAGAUGAUGAAGGAAUGGAAGAUGUUAGUGUGCGAAACAGGAUCAUGUGUGGUAGAUGUCUGGCCAUUCUUAAACAACUUGACAGCUGAUGUGAUUUCUCGUACAGCUUUCGGAAGUAACUAUGAAGAAGGAAAAAUAGUAUUUCAACUCCUAAAAGAACAAGCUCAACUUACAUCCAAGGUCUUUCAAUCUGUUUAUAUUCCAGGGUGGAGGUAUAUUAUUAAAUUACACUUUUUUAUUGUCAACUUUUUAUUCAACAACACGCAUGUUUGUACUUCAAUAUUUCAACCCUAUAGAUAAUAAUUAAGGUUUCAUGCAAAACUAAAACUGUUUGAAAAUUCAUUUGGACUUUCUAAACUAUAAAUCUCUCUUUGUAAAAGAGGACUUGAGAAGUAAUAUGAUGAUUCAUAUUUAAUUGAACUUAAUUUAGUUUUCAAAUUAAAAAUACCUUGAUAUGAUAUGGUUUUAGGAUUUCAAAUUAGAGCAUUUAGUUUCCAAUUUUGUUCUCAGUAUUAGAUUUAUUUUAUAAUUUUGUUCUCAGUUAUUGUUUCUUAUUUUUUAGAUAUUGAAUUAAAAAUAUUUCAUGUUUCUUAAUAUUUAGAGGAGACAAGUAUUUAACUAAAUUUUCAAAUUAGAGUAUUUUGUGUCCACUUUUAUUCUCGUUUUAGGAUUUAUUUUAUGAUUUUGUUUUAUUGAAUAAGUCAGUUAUUGUUUCUUAUUUCUUAUAUAUUGAAUUAGAAAUAUUCCAUGUUUCUUAAUAUUUAGAAAGACAAUUAUUUAACUAAAAAAAUAUUAAAAACAAAUAAGGUUAAUUUUUCUUUAGUUGAUAUUUAAUAAAGUUAAGUUUUAAUAUUAGCUUAAUUUGCGUCAGUUAUUUGGGUAAGUUAUUAACCAAACAAAUGAUAAUAACUUAAAAAAAACAACUAUACAAUACUCUCAUAUGGUGCAUUAAGGAGAAAUGACAACGUUUAUUUUCGCUAAUAGAUACCGAUUCCUGAACCGAGACAUAUUCUGACAAGGUAAAAAGUGGUAGACUUUAUGUCUCGGUUUUGAACCGAGACAUAAAAUGGUAAAAUUAUGCCUCGAUUCCUGAUGAACCGAAGUCGUUUCCCCCUCUACUGCCUCGGUUGAAACCUGAACCGAGGUAGCAGAGUCUUUUUUUUUUUUCUUCUUCUUCUUUAGCUAGUCAUAUUGAAGAUUAUUCUAAUCCAAUAUGCAUAUUCAUGUAAAGGAGCAAGAGUUGAUAUGUGAAUCAACAUGAACGUUUCAAUCACUCAAAAGCUUCUACAUUUCGAGCUUCUGGUCAUGAGUGAGGUCGUCUGGGAAUGUGAUUUUGAACUUUAUCCUUAAGUUUCGCUUCUUUAUUGGAUCCCUUGGGAUAGGCAUUCCUUCUCUUUCAACAACCUCUUCAUAUUCAGGAUGAAUAAUUUGGUCGAUAGGCAUAGUUAAGUUUCUUCCAUCAAGGGUGACCAGGUUAACAGUGCACCCUGUCAAGGCUUCCACAAGAGAUAUCUUCUGGGUCACCACAAGGUCCUUUCCGUCUCUUGUAUAAACUCUGUGAAGUUUUUCAUAUACAAAGAGAACAAGAUCAGCAGGUCUGUGUUGUUCUAGGUCACCUCCUUUCUCCAAAUACGUAAGCUUGGUGCCCUUCUUCCAACCACGCUGCACUUCCACUAUCAAUACCUCUUCCACCAGCUUACUAGUGCCCUUCUUCCAACCACACUGCACUUCCACUAUCAAUACCUCUUCCACCAGCUUACGUUGCCUGCAUCCACAAGGAAACAAAUCAAACAACAAACUAGGAAAUUAUGAAGACUAAGAAGGGAAAUUCAUCACGCUAAGGAUAACAAGUUUUUACAGUGUUAAAUAAUUACCAAAAGCUUCUAGUCUUUUUUUUGUCAUUUCAAAAGUUAAGAAGCAAAUGCUUCUCAGUAAGACAAACAAUCACCAUUUUUUUCAUUUAAAUCACUCUUAACACUUAACCAUACAAACCAAAUGGCUUCGCCGCCACCGUUACGCUAAACAUCGUCGGAUCAGACACGGACAGUGCGUUCCGAACCAUCGCUUCAAGUUCCCUAAAGCCCCCGUCCCCGCGCAGUUCGCCUCUGUUACAGAGCCUCAGUCCCAACAUUCUCAUCAUCGUCACAGUCCUCGCCGUCAUCGUUAUUGUUUCUCUCGCACUCUACUUCCUCCUCCGCCACCUCAAUCACCGCUUCUCCUCCGCCGACGCGCUUUCCGCAUCCGCCUCUGCCACGCCGAUAUUCUCCUCCAGCCGCCACAUCUCACUGAAGAUUGUCCACUCCUCAUCCACCACCGUCGUCACUGCCUUAGUCAUCGACACGCUGCCGUUAUUCACGUUCUCCUCCGUCACGCGCUGCUCUUCCUCUACCGUGCCGAACAAUAAAAUGCUUGAGUCCCAACAACAACGCGACAUGUUCAACGCUAGCUUCCAAAACUAGGCCAGGGCCAUGGAAACCUACACGACCCAAUUCAAGCGAGGAAGAAAAUGCAGGUUCCAUGGCCAAAGAGAAAAUGCAGGUUUGGGGUGGAAGAAAGAAGUGCACAGUCUAGGGUAACAUCUUAGGCGAAAGUAAGAAUUUUAAAAGAAGAUAAUGCUUCGGUUAUUUUUCCCUAUACGUCGCGGUUUAAGAAGAAUGUUCCCACCGCUCGGUUUAGGACGAAAGUGAGAGUUCACGAAGAAUGUUCCCCACCGCUCGGUUUAGGACGAGAGUGGGAGUUCCCAACUGCUCGAUUUAUGACCAAGGAUUCUCGGAGAGUGUUCCCUUGGUUUUGUAAUGUUGCGACACAACCAGUGGUUGAAUAAGAGUGGUCCGACUUUAUUAGAAUCGUAAACAUAUGUCUUGUCAAAAGAAAUUAUUCAAAACAAAAUACCACAUCAAAACUCAAUUAACCUGAACAUGAAAAAAAAACCACUUUCCAAUUUAAAAAGGACUUUUUAUUAUGCCACUUAGUUGAUAUGUCCUUGAAUCGAGCGGUCAGGGCUGCAAAUGUGACUGCGGUUGUGCCUUCGUUCAUCUCUUCCAUAUGGUUGUUCGACUCUGCUCCAUGGCACCUAGAUGGGCUCUUUAACGUCGUCCCCUCUUUCUUCACAUAUUUACGGAGAUGGCCCGCAUGAAUGAGUGCUUCGAUUUUAUCCUUAAGUGUUGCACAAUUUUCAGUGAUGUGCCCCAUGUUUUGAUGAUAUUGGCAAUACUUUCCUUUGUCAGCAUUCUUAGGCUAAUGAAUUCUCUUGACCGAAAGAAGUUCAACAUUAAGAGCUUCCCUAAGGAUCUUGGCCUUAGGUGCAUUAACAGGUAUGUAGUAAUCAAACUUAAGUUCUCGGUGGAAGUCCUUUGGUUGAGAACUCCCUCCCCUGUCAUUGAACGACCGUCGUCCAUCCUUCCUACCCCCUCCCGCAUCAACUUCUUGUUGUCUUCCUUGUGAGAUUCGCAUGUCUUCAAUGCGGAUGAACUCAACUACUCUCUCUUGGAGCUCGUCCAUGGUUUUUGGUGGACGAGCAUACAACUUUUCAUCAAAGUAUCCUGGCCUUAGGCAUGAAGGCAAAUUGUUGAUGAUGAAAGAAUGAUUAACAUCUUUGACUUGCCGAGCGGUUUCAGUGUACCUCUUCAUAAACGCCUUCAAAGUCUCUCCUUUCUCCUGCUUAGUAUUCGCCAAUUUUGCCGGUGUUAUCUCCUGCUUCAUGUUGGAGGAGUAUUGCCUUCUGAAGAGGGUUUCCACAGUGGCGAAGUAAUCUACAAAAUUUGGAGGAAGAGUAUUAUACCACUCCAACGCCUUGUCCUUGAGUGAUAAUGAGAAAGCUCUACAAAUGACUGAAUCAUUGUCCGUGUAAAAUGCCAUUGCGUUGGUGAAGAUUUCAAGAUGAUUGUUAGGGUCCGCCGAGCCAUCAUACUUCUCUAACACAAGGGGACUCUUUUCUAGCAUGGGAGUUUGCAUAAUAUUCACCGUAAAGGGGAGUAAACUGGUGGGCCGAACGGUUUGUAGAGGAACCGACUGUCCUCUUUCAUUGUCGUCUGGAUUACCAUGCGGGUUACCGUUUGGGUUAGCAUGCUGAUUACCGUUUGGGUUAGUACGUUGGGAUGUCUGGCGACCAUGAUUUUCAUUCUCGUGGUGUUGAUUUUGGUGUAUAGUUGACACCGAGUGCUGAGUAGACUGCUCAUGAUGACCCAGCUCCACCCUUAAAGCUGCAAUUUCCUCGGCAUGCUUCUACUGCAUCUCUCGCUGCGCUUGUGUGUGCUCUUGUAUGAUUCAUGUCUGUGCCUGUAAUUGUGCCUGCAUUUGUGCCAUGAGAUCUCUGGUACUUUGCUGCUCCUCCCUACUCCUUGUGGUCACCAUUUCAGCUUACUUCGGGAAUUAACUAUGUGUAGUCUGAGCGUUCGUCUUAGUUCCUUGUGUUUUCAAUGGGAUGCCCUUUCAAGGCCCAGGGUGGUCGUCAUUUAUGUUUUGGUGGAAUUGGUCCAAGGGUCGAUUGACCUUCCUUCUCUGCUAUCUUUCGAUCGUUUUAAUACUUUCUGAGAACACAAUCCUCCGAUGGGUGGUUGACCUGUAAAAAACUCUCCGACGCUCAAGCCAGACAAUCGAAUUCAAUAAUACCUGUUAAUUGUCCAUUAAUAUCAUAUUCUUAUGCAAUAUGACAUGUCAAUCACUCAUAAAUAGCGUAUAUUCACAUUUAAUAUGGCCAUUAAACAUAUUAAUUGACCAUAAAUGAUUUUUAUCUUUUGUCUGACCACCGAUCGGUUGCCUGUUUUGGCCCCGGAUUCUUCUUAGUCGACCGGUCACCGGGGUAUAGUACAGAUUUCAAUUAUCUAUGUUUAAAUUUUUAUAAUUUUUUGUACAUGAAUUUGUUUCAUUCUUCCAUAUUUUUUUUAUCUUACUUAUUUUCUUUAUUAAUAAUUAUUUUACUUAUUUUAUUUAUUAAUAAAUUUUUGCAUAUGAUUGUUGUGUUUUAGGAUAUAAGCAUGACUGCGAUGAUAGUAUGAAUUUAAUAAAAAAAAGUAAGCAAAAGAAAAUAAGAAUGCUAAAUCAAAGAUUCGAAGUUAACAUCAUCAUUAUUCCCUUUUCCAUUGUUAGGUUUGUACCAACGAAAUUGAACAAGAGGAUGAAGAAGAUUGACUAUGAAAUUGGAAAUGUACUUCGUGGAAUUAUCCAAAAGCAAGAGGGUAUUAUGAAAACAUGCAAAGCUUCCAGUGAUAAUCUAUUAGGCUUACUAUUGGAAUCAAAUCAAAACGAGAUUGAAGUUGGAUUACUUAAGAAAGAUGUUGGAAUGAACACCAAUGAUGUAAUUAACGAGUGUAAGGUAUUUUACUUUGCCGGACAAGAAACAACAUCGGUGCUACUAAAUUGGACGAUGGUGUUAUUGAGUAGAUUUCCCAAAUGGCAAACACUAGCAAGAGAAGAAGUCAUUGAAAUUUUUGGCACAAAAGAACCAGAUUAUGAUGGAUUAAAUCGUCUUAAAGUUGUAAGUAUCAGUUUUUAUGUUGAAAUCAUUUUUAUGACUGAGUUAAAAAUAUAAUUUUAGAAUAAUUAUAAACUUUAUGUUAAAACGGUAUAGCUUAACUUGAAUACAAUAUUAUUUUUUAUCAACAAAAGAAUAAACUAUAUUUAUAAAAGAAUAUUUGGAGUAUUCUGAUCCAUUUAUAUUUCUUAUACCAAUAAAAAAAGUCUCUUUAGUGCAUAUUCUUGCACAAUCUAUACUACAUAGAGUUUUCUCAUCAAAACCUAAAUGAUAUGCCUGCAUACAACAUUCAUCGAUGGAUUAUUAUUGAUGAAACUUCAUCUCAUUAAUGAAAGCUUUAAUAUCUUAAUGUUUUUUAUUAUUUUCAUUUCAAUUCAACUAAUUGAUGUUUCUGGUUGAAAAAUUUAAGUAUGAGUCUAAAUCUCAUAUUGAGUAAAAGUAAGAAAGUUGAGUAUAUAUUAUGAUAAAGAGUCAAAAACUCAAUGUUUUAAGAUUUUGAGUUGAAGGUGUUAUUGAUUCUUUAUGUAUAGAUUGUGCUUAUAUCUUAUUGGUGUUAUAUUUCUCUGAUGAUCUUUCCUUGAAAAUCCUAUUAGAGGUAUUAAAAAUAAAUGUUUGUCUAGAUGGGUAGCAUAGACGAGUCUUUGUAGCAAUAGUCAAUUUGAUAGAGGAUCAGACAAAGGAGUCUUGUUAUGAUAAACGACAAUACAAGUAAGGAUACUUGUAGUUAAGCUCGAAUGAGAAAUACCAAUGUGAAGAGACUUACAUUUUAUAAAGAGAUUGUUGAGAAAUCCAAAUGUGAGUCUAAGUCUAACUUUAAGUAAAAGUGAGAAAGUGGAACAUCAUACAAAGAUGAAAAUCCAUAUACUCUUUUUUUUUUAAAUUUUGAAUUGAAGAUAGUAUCAAUAUUUUAUGUGUAAGUUGAGUUUAUGUUUAAUUGGUGUAGUAUCUCAUCAAUGUUCCUCUCUUGAAAAAUUCAUCAUUUACUUACUACCGCACCUCAUUCAACUUUUUGUUUAAUUUAUUAUCCACUAAAAAAGUUGAGACAUUGAUACUAUGUUUUUAAACUUUUAAAACUAAAUGUCUUGCAUUUGAAAGAAUGUUACUAAUGUUAAGUCAUGAUAGUUUUUUUUUUUUUUGGCAUUGACAUAGGUGACAAUGAUUUUGUAUGAGGUUUUAAGAUUAUACCCACCGGCUACUGCUAUUACAAGAGUCAUAAGGAAAGAAACUACAAUUGGAAACAUGAGCUUACCAGCAGGAGCACUAGCUACUAUUCCAAUUGUGUUGGUACAUCAUGAUUUUGAAUUAUGGGGAAGUGAUGCAAAAGAGUUCAAACCAGAAAGAUUCUCAGAAGGAAUCUCAAAAGCAACAAAUGGUAAAGUUUCAUUUAUCCCAUUUGGAUGGGGUCCUCGAAUAUGCAUUGGCCAAAACUUUGCUUUGCUUGAAGCCAAAAUGGCUUUGUCUCUCAUUCUGCAAAACUUCAAGUUUGAACUAUCUUCCUCCUAUGUUCAUGCUCCAAUUACAGUCAUAACUGCUCAACCUCAAUUCGGCACGCACCUUAUAUUACAAAAAUUAUAGUUUGUUAGCCUAAGAAAGGUUUUUAAUGUUUUUCUAUCUUAUGUUUUAUGGCUUCUUCCUAGGACAUGUGACUUGCAGAAAACAAAAUCUUAUUGCAAGAUUCAAUAAAAUUUCUUCAUAUAUUUGUCUUUUUUAUAUGUUUUUAUAUAAAAAAUUAUAUAGGAUGGUUUUUCCUUAAUUAUAUUAAACUUCAAUAUUUAUAAUUUAGUUUUUGGGAUAAAACUUGUUCCAUAUACAUGUAUUAUAUAUUUGUGCAUUGAAGACUUUGGAUAUAUGGAUUGUUCAUGACGAAGAAAAAGAGAUGUCUUGUUCACUUGAAGGGAUUUGGGAAGAGUAAUUGAAUGGAUUUGAGAGGAUUUGAAGAUAACUUUUUUUUUUUGUUUAUUUGAGUGAAUUUGGAGGUAAGUAAAAGUGAAUUUAAAAGUAAAGUUUGUGAGAAUUAGUAUAUGAUUUAAUUUAUGUGACAAAUUAAAAAAAUUUACUUCCAAAUUCACUUUCACUUUCCUCCAAAUCCACUCAAAUAAACAACAACAAAAAUUAUCUUCAAAUCCUCUCAAAUCCAUUCAAUUACUCUCUUACAAAUCCCUUGAAGUGAACAAGGCAUAGUGAUCUGAAGUCAAAGAUUGGUGAAGAAAAACUUUUAUAAAGUAAAGAUUUUUUGUUGUAAACUUGAUUUGUAUUGUUGGAUCAAUUGUUAAGCUAGAAAGAUUCUUAAAGUGAUACAAAUCAAGUUAAAUUAAUCACCUCCUAUCACCCCCAAGUAAAUUCAAUUUAAAUUAAAAAUCAAGUAAUAAAUUAAAUUGUGCUUUAAUCGAUUAAAAUAUUCGUAAUUUAAUGGAAAAUGUUUAAAAAACAUUUUUAGUCAAUUAAAGUACCAAAUUAAUCCAUUAAAAUCACUUAAAACUCAAAACUAAACUUGUCACUCUCUUUUAGUCUAAUAAAACAACUUUAAGUCUCAUAGUUAUUUUAAUUGAUUAUAACAAUGGAUUAGUCAACUAGACUAAUAGACAAUAGUUUUGACAUUAAAAUGUCAUUUUAAUAUAAUAUAAAAUCCUAAGAGCUUCUUUCAAAGCUCUCUUUCAAUUUAUUAAAGUAGUUUUAAUUAUUAAAGCUAUCAAAUAUUGAUUAUAUAUCUCUCUCAUUUCUAAAUAAAACUUAAUAAAUUAAUUAUCGCUUUUUAAACACACUUUUUCUUCAGAGAGAAACUCAAGAUUGAACUAGACCUAUCUUUUUGAACUCUUCUUUCUUGAACCUCGCGAUUAAUAAUUAUAGGAACGAGAGAACACAAACAGCAACACACAAAUGUUUUCUAUUGACAGUGAAUACAAACAAAGUUAUCUCUCUUAUUGAUUGGUGUGCAUGGUCUGAUAUAUAUAUAUAUAUAUAUAUAUAUAUAUAUAUAUAUAUAUAUAUAUAUAUAUAUAUAUAUAUAUAUAUAUAUACGCAGUAGCAACGAUAAUAACAGAAAAACUGAAAAAACAGAACUCUUAAACUAAAACACGUAUAAUAUUUGAAUUACAACAGCUAUCACUCUCCCUUAAUUCAAAUAUGAAAGUGAAACAACUCCAAUCUUUUUCCUCAUGGCUUCAAACUUUUCUACUCUUAAAGGCUUUGUAAACAGGUCUGCCCAUUGAUCUGUGGUCUUGCAGUAGAAUAACUCAAUUUUCCCUUUGCUCACGACUUUUCGCAGGAAGUGAUACUUCACUUCAAUGUGCUUGCUUCGUUUAUGACUUACUGGGUUUCUGGCCAAAUUUAUCGCAGAAGUGUUGUCCACCCUUAGUUCUAUUGAAUUUCCUGUCGCUAUCUUCAGUUCAGCAAGUAACUCUUCAAGCCAAAUCCCUUGACAAGCUACAUGACACCCUGCCACAUAUUCUGCUUCGCAGCUGGAUAUAGCAACGAUUGACUGCUUCUUAGAUGACCACGACACUGGUGCUCCAUUCAAGAAGUAGAUAAACCCUGAAGUACUCUUGCUUUCAAGCUUAUCUCCUUCGUAGUCUGAGUCGUAGAAUCAUGCAAGCUUUAAGCAGGUGCUCUGGCUUCCAUAUGGGAAUAGAUUCCAUAGUUUGUUGUACCCUUGAUGUACCUUAAAAUGCGUUUUGCACAAUCCAUGUGACUCUUUCCUGGUUGACACAUAAAUCUACUUAUCGGACCAACACUAAACAUCAAUUUAGGCCUGCUAUUGCACAAAAACUCAGGGAUCCAACAAUCUGCUUGAAUCGCGUUUCAUCUGCUUUUUCUUCAGCUUCAUUCUUUUCCAGUUUUGCGUUUGCUUCCAGAGGACUCCUAGCUGCAUUGCAUUGAUGCAUCUGAAAUCUUUCCAGCAGCUCCUUUGCGUAUUUUGCUGAUGCAUUAUAAGCCCUUUCUCAGAGUGUGUAAACUCCAUUCCCAGAAAGUAGCACAACUCACCCAAGUCCGUCAUUACGAAGUCAGACUUCAUCAUUUCCUUGAACUUGUUCAUGUCUUCUGGAUUUGAUCCUGUUACAAGAAGGUCAUCUACAUAUAAACAAAUAGUAAGCAGAUUACCUUCUAGAGUCUUCUUUACAUAAACUCCAUGUUCAACCUUGCAUCUUUCGAAUCCGUGUUGCAGCAGAGAUGAAUGGAUCUUCUUGUUCCAUGCUCUGGGUGCCUGACGCAAACCAUAAAGUGCCACUACAAAAAAAAAAACUUAUUUAGAGGGGUUUUUUUUUUCAAUUUGCGGGGGUUUUUACCCUCCGCUAAAUAAAUUCUGGGGGUUUUUCAAACCCCCGCAGUUUGAGUCGCCACAAAUUAUCUGCGGGGGGUUUUUUCGCCCCCUGGUAUCAUAUUCAAUUUGCGGGGGUUUUUCUGCGGAGGGUAAAAACCUCCUCUAUAUAUUCAAUUUGCGGGGGUUUUUCUGCGGAGGGUAAAAACCUCCUCUAUAUAUUCAAUUUGCGGGGGGUUUUCGGCGGAGGGUAAAAACCUCCUCUAUUACUGACUAUUAUUNNNNNNNNNNNNNNNNNNNNNNNNNNNNNNNNNNNNNNNNNNNNNNNNNNNNNNNNNNNNNNNNNNNNNNNNNNNNNNNNNNNNNNNNNNNNNNNNNNNNNNNNNNNNNNNNNNNNNNNNNNNNNNNNNNNNNNNNNNNNNNNNNNNNNNNNNNNNNNNNNNNNNNNNNNNNNNNNNNNNNNNNNNNNNNNNNNNNNNNNNNNNNNNNNNNNNNNNNNNNNNNNNNNNNNNNNNNNNNNNNNNNNNNNNNNNNNNNNNNNNNNNNNNNNNNNNNNNNNNNNNNNNNNNNNNNNNNNNNNNNNNNNNNAAAAAAAAUUAAUAAAAUAAACUCAAUUACAUGUACUCACAUUUUGUAAAUAAUAUAUAAAAAAAAUAAUCAAAUAGAAUUCAGUUUUAAAAGUCAUUAUUCAAAUUUUCCUUGGCNACUGCANUUACUACUUUACACCAUAUAUAAAAUGCAAUGGACCAAUACUUCUCACACUAUGCAUAUAAAUCUUAUUGCAACAAUCAAUAAAGCUAACUAUGACACAGACAGAUACCAAAAGCCAAAGCACUAACUAAAUUCCAUUUUCGUUGGACAUUAUUGCAUAGCAUGGGAAGAACUGUGGUCAAUAACCUGCAACUGACUGCGAAGAUUUUGACUGUGGGAUAACUACAUUUCAUCUGAAUCAUGUAACCAAACACACAUCGAUCCAAGCAUACCAUAAAACAAAUAGGCACUGCAUACUAAUGAAUACAAACAUGAUAUAUAACAAAUAAGCACUAAACUAUAAUUGUACAAUUCAAUAAUUGUUAAACACUGUCAAUUCAAUAACAAAUUGUGUGGAAAAUGAUUCAAUACCACGUAACAAUCAUUUAAGCAAGUCAACAGUAGUGAUACAUCAGUGUGGAUGUUUCAGUAUCAUUCUUCUUUGUAAUUCUCAUUUAGUUGGAACAUUGUCAUUUGAUUUUUUUUUUUGUUUCUAAGAACCAUUUUUAGUUCUCUAUUAACAUGUGAAUAAUUCUCCCCCGCACAUAAAUGUAAAUUCUAAGUUUUCUUUGUCUGCUGUUUUAGUUUGCUUUUACUGGUAUGCUGUUACUUUUGCAUUUCUUCUCUGUUUUAGUUAGCUAGGAUUAGAUACUAGGUCUAUUCUUAGUUUUGAUUUCAUAUCUGGUUAUCUUUUAGUUGGAUUCACUGUUUAGUAAUUGUUUUCUUAUUUUCGUAGAUGUUCAAGCUUAUUUUGCUGUUUUUGGGAAUAGUAGUUUCUUUCUGAUGUUAUUUUAAAUUAUAAUUAACUCUUCAUUUGUUGUGUUUAGUUUUCUUUAUAUUUUAGAUAGUCAUAAGUAUUUUUAAAUCUAUUUUCUGUCUUACCGAAGUAGUUUAAAUAGUUUUUAAACUUUGUAAUUGGUAGGUUUAGAUUUUAGUAAUUUCUAUUAAAUGGUUUAAUUAAGAUAUUUUUUGUAGUAGUUUUUGAUCUGGGUGAUUACUUUUUGCUAUAAGUAGGAGUUAGUUUAGUUUAUUUUAGUUUUGAAUUUUAUUUUACAAAUUAGUGUUACUAACCAAGCUUUUUCUCUGGCAAUACUAACAGUUUCAGUUGUUCUAAUUUUCUAUGACUAACAUUUUUUUGCUUCCUUAGUCAGUUAUUUAACUUUACUAACUCUGUUUUGCUGAGUUAUUUCAGUUCACUAACUCUGUUUUGGAAGGUGAAUAUGUUAAUGACUUAACUCUUUACAAAAGUAAAUUGUUUAAUAAUAAGUGUUUUUUUUAGUUGGGGUUAGUGUAGAGAUGAUAGAGAAAAUGUUUGAGUGAGAGAGAUGAAGAAGAAAGGGUUGAGAGGAAUGAAGAAGGUGAGUAAGGGUUUGGGGUUUCUUUUUUUAAUUUUGAGAAUGAAAAUUAUUAAAAUAAAGCAAGUGUUUCUGAUUUUUUUUCAAUUGGGGCUAGAGUAGGGAUGAGAGAAAAGGUUGGAAUGAAAGAGAUGAAAGAGAAAGGAUUGAGAGGAAUGAGAGAGGUGGGUAAGGGUUUGGGGGUAUCUUUUUUUAUUUUUUUAAUUUUGAGAAUGAAAAUUAUUAAAAUUCCCUUAACCUUAAAACUUAGAAUUCAUGAUGUAUAAGGAUAUUUUUGUCUACUGAAACUCGGUACACAUUGCUAAAAUGUACCAACUGAAAAANNNNNNNNNNNNNNNNNNNNNNNNNNNNNNNNNNNNNNNNNNNNUAUAUAUAUAUAUAUAUAUAUAUAUAUAUAUAUAUAUAUAUAUAUAUAUAUAUAUAUAUAUAUAUAUAUAUAUAUAUAUAUAUAUAUAUUAGCAACAAUAAAAACAGAAAAAGUGAAAAACCAUAACUCCUAAACUAAAACACGUAUAAUAUUUGAAUUACAACAACUAUCAAUAAUACCUUAAAGUAUAGAUAGUUGAAAGUAUUGGAAGUGUCAAAAAGACUCAAACCAUGAUAGGGGGACAUUAGAAAAAUAUGUGAAGUUGAGUGAGAGGGGAUAAAAAGAUUAUUAGCUUGUUAAGUAAUAUAGGAUGAAAGAGAGGUUUAGAAAAAAAAAAAGUUUUGGAUUGAUAAGUCAAUCGAAGAAAUAUUUCUAAAAGAGACAUUUUUAGAAGAACGUAUACACUAAGAUAUUUCACAUAUUGGAAUGAAGACUCGUGGCUUUUGAUGUGUGCCUUGGAGAAGAUAGUGGUUUGAGUGAGAGAGGCUAUGUUAAUCAAACUGGUGAAAGAGAUAGAUGGGAGUAUUUUAUAUAAAGACAAGGAAGAUGGAUAUGUAUAUGGAAAAGGGUGAAGAAACACAAGUUUAUAAUGUGAAUCAACAUAUAGAAAAUUAAAAUUAUGAAGGCUUUAGGUAUGAUGUCUUUUUUGGAAAACUAAAGCUUUACCCUUAUCUCAACAUUUUGCAUGGCGAAUAAUAAUAAAUAAAGUGGUCAUUUUUAAUAAUAAUAGGAAAAUUGAGGUGGCAAGUACAAGGCCUGUCAUGUGGUUUUCAUGAUGAAUUGAUAAGCCAUCUAAUUUUCAAUUGUAAUAUGGACACAAACAUGACACAUGUGUGACUUUUGGGUAGCAACACUAUAUAUAAAAAUAGGGCAAACAUACAUGUUUGGUCCCAAUUGUUGGUUUAAAUUUUCAACUGAGUGUGGUGAAUUAGUUAUAAUACAAACAAGAUCGUAUUCUUAGAGAUUUAUUUCAAUAAUAUAGUGAUUUAUACCCUAUUCAAAUUUGAAGUAUGUAUAAUUCACAAUAUAUCUAAUUUUACUUUUGUUAUACAAUAUAUAACUAGUUAGAGACUUCUGCAUAUCCAUUCUUUUUAACUUGUAUUAAGAAAAUUAAUAUAGUUAUUAUUAUAUUUAAAUAAGUAAAAUAUUUAUAUAAUUAUAUUCAAGUGUUAAUUAUGUAUUUAUAUUAAUAUAAUAUUUAGAUAAAAAGUUUGAUAAUAUAAUUAGAAAGUGGGUUUAGAUAUAACUCAACUCCACAAAACCAGCUUCUAAGGUGAGGUUUACCUUUAUCUCUAGUCGAUGUGAGACUUUCAACAAAUAUAAAAAAUUUUAAUACAUCAUUUAGUCCCUAAUUUGGGACAAUGUGUUCAAAGUGGUUUUAUCUUUUUCGACAGUUCACUAUUGUCCCAUAUUUUGUAAAAACGGUUCAAGUUUGUCCUUUGGGCUUACGACGUUAAAAACAUAACGGUGUAAUUGUCUUCGUGGCCAAAAGUGAAUGAGGUGUCUAGUUUUGUAAUAUGUGGCACGUUGAGGUCAAUAGAGAUGUAAAUUUUAAAAAUAAAAAUUAAUAAUGAGGAAAAGAUUUAACAUAGGGUUAAAUGAAAUGUGGUUGUACCUUUUUGCUACUGUUGUUGUGUGCCAUGACUAAUUGUGGGGUGGAGAAAGUGAAGAAGUUCCCUUCUCCUUCACCAUGCCCAUCAUCUACCUUUUCUUCACCUUCAUCAUCACCAUAAACCUCUAUUCUUUUAACACAAACAUUAUCACAUCUCACAUGUACAAAUAGAAAAACAACAAUCCAUUACCCCUUUCUUCAUCCCGAACCCACACUCAACACACCAUUCCAGCACCAUCAUUUUUCAAGUUCAACGCAUACAUAAUAACACUCUCGAAACCCACACAGUCAUCAUCCAAAAUCUCCAUUCUUUUUUCCUUCCUCCUUUGUCCAUUCACGCACACAUAAAGAAUACAAAAAACAAAGGGGAGUCACCAUUCCACCACCACCCAACACAUUGAACGCUGGAAUCACAAAACAAUUAAAAACUGGGAGCAAGGUAAGAAGAAAUCCCAAAUUGCAAGAUAAUGAACACCAAAACCUAAAACGCGAAAUCAACACAAGAAAAGGAAACCCAAUUCGCAAACAAAGAAAAGAAUUCCAAAAUGUAAAAAUCAACCAGGAUUCAAAAUCUUAAUCUGAAGUUCCCAAAAUUUGCAAGAUCUGAAACACAAGAAAAGGAAACCCCAAAACGCUACAAUUUGAAAUCCCCUUCUUACAAAACACUCUCAAAAAGGGAGGAGAAACCCUAUAUUUUGUCUUCAAGUUAGAGAUUUUUAGAAAACAUAAUCUUUUGAUUAGGUUGAUGAGACUCGUUAAAACAAGAGAUAUUGAAAUGGAAUCUGUUUAGACUCUACAUAACAGUGUGCUUGAGUUCAAUUGCCAUGUCCAUUUGAAUAGUUGUCACAUAAAUGUUCAGAUCAUUUAUUAUUAGUUAAAGUGGACAUUGUUAAGUUUUUAAGACUGUAAACAAAAAAGACCUACUUUAAACAAAUUGUUCCAAACUAUAGAUCAAAAGAUGUAUUAAACUUAUAAAAAAAAUUAUUUUGGAUAUUUUUCUUUUUUAUAUUAAGUUAAUUAAAAAUAAAUUAUAUUAUGCGGAGGAGGAAAAUUAAAAGUGGCUGCCUUGCAAUCAAUCGCAAUUUUCUGCUUCCUUGCGAAUUACGUUGAUGACGGAGUUGAUGAGUUCAUUCCUUCGGUGUAGUGGCCUUUGGCUCAGUCUUUGGUUUCAUUAUAGUAGAUGUUCAUGUGUUCGAGUUGGAGUUCGAAGUCGCUAAACAAAGAGGAUAAAAAGAAAAGGGAGAUCUACCCCAAAUAUAAAUAGAAAAAAGAUGAAAAGAAAAGAGAGAUAUGAGGUUUGCAAAGUUCGAUAAUGACCAAAAAGCUGGGAAAGGGAGGAGAAAAACUGAAUUCACCAAUCGGAAAGCAAAAUGGUGUUUUGGUUUGGGUUAUUGGUUUGAAUGGUAUUUUGGUUUUUGCCUUUUAAGAAGGAAAAAUGGGAGGAUGUGGUCGAAAUGAUGAAAAAACCCACAACUAUAUGGGAAAUGGGUAUUUUGGGAGAGUAGAAUUGCAAAUUUGAGUUCCAUCACAGAAUCAAUCAUGUUCACAUUAGUAAAAAAGACAAAAAAAUUCUUAUUUCAUCCUUACAUUUAAGUAACAUCGAAGGAUAUAAUAAUUAAUUGAUCAAGUAAAAGGUAAAAGAAAUAAAAACCAACAGUUAUCACUAAUGAAAAAAAACAAAAAAAAGAAAAAACAGGACAGCUGUUUAAGUUUUACAUAUGAGUACAUUAGUAGUUUACCUUCUUUAAAUAGUUAAUAGAUUUUCAUCGUGUCUUUUCGACACCAGGAACUGUCCGUCAAAUAUUUAUAAAAGAAAAGAAACAAAGUUUACAGAAAGCAGAGGUCGUUCCCUCAUUAAUUUCAACGAUACGUGUCUUUGGAGGUUAAGCAGCUUAUAGUCUGUCGUUUGUUAAGUAUUUUGGAGGUUGUUCUUGUCGAGAGCUCUUCUCUGUUUCAGAUAUAAACAUGCAUACACUUAACUUCCAACUAUAGACAUUUUUUACAUUGGAAAUGGAAGUUGAUGCAGCGAUGAUGUCUGUUGGAAUUUUGGUUGCAUUUGUUAUCCUAUUCUUAACGAAAGCACUGAGUUGGGUGUGGUUGGAACCGAAAAGGGCAGAGAGAUUUCUCAGAAGACAAGGCAUAAAGGGAAACUCAUACAAGCUUGUCUUUGGAGACACAAAAGAAUUAACCAUGAUGCUGCAUCAAGCACAUUCUAAACCCAUACACAUCGAUGAUGAUAUUGCAACUCGCCUAGUUCCAUUUCAAAAUCAAUUGGUCAAAGUUUCUGGUAUGCCUUCUAAUAAUACCUUUAAGGGUUAAAUAAGUUAAUUAGAAAAUAACUUGAUGAUUUUUGCAGGUAAGAAUUCGUUUUUCUGGUAUGGUCCUAAGAUUACAGUGAAUAUUAUGGAUCCUGAAGCAAUAAAAGAGGUUCUGAACAUGAUAAAUGACUUUCCUAAACCAAACCUUAAUCCACUAGGCAAGUUCCUGAUAACAGGACUUGUAGAUCUUGAGGGAGACAAAUGGUCAAAGCACAGAAAGAUCAUCAACCCUGCAUUUAAUCUCGUCAAGCUCAAGGUUUUUCUUUUCUUUUUCAUCCUCUGUUCUCUAAUUUUCUUGCUACAAAUUUCUUAUUAUUGUUAUAAUCCUAAAUAUGAGUCUAAAUUCUAUAUUAGAUAGAAAUGAGAAAGUAGAACACCAUAUAAAAUUGAAGAUCCGUUAACUCAUAGCCUUAAGGUUUUUGAUCGAGAAUGAUGUUGAUCGCUUAUGUUUUGGACUCAGAUCUCAUUAAUGUUGUAUCUCCCUAAUGAACCUCUUUCUUCAUAAACCUAAGAAGUGGUAACAGAGUCAAGUUUGGCUCAGUUGAAUACAAUGGUUCAUGUAUCGAAAGUCUUCAUAGCAAAGAGUCAAGUAAGCGUGUACCCUUAAAAAGGAGUACUCAAAUAAGGAGGAGUGUAAAUCCCAAUGUGAAAGGGAGUUACCUUCGGAGGGAAGAUCGUUAUAAUUUCACAUGUGAGUCUAAAUCCUACAUUAAAUAAAAAUGAGAAAAUAUAAGGUUGAAGAUCCAUUAACGCAUAAUCUUAAGGUUUGAGUAGAGAAUGAUGUCAAUGUCUUAUGCUUUGGACUCAGAUCUCAUUGAUGUUGUAUUUCUUCAGUGAAGCUCUUUCUUCAUGAACCCAACAAUUGUUUUAACAUUAUCUGUGAAAUCUAUGAUAUUAAUUUUCAUGGAGUAAUGUUCCAUUGAAUAUUUUUCACUCCAUACCUUCAUCUUUUUAACGUCUGAAAUGUUUUGCAGCUUGUGUUGCCUGCCAUGUAUGAUAGUUGCAACCAGAUGAUGAAGGAAUGGAAGAUGUUAGUGUGCGAAACAGGAUCAUGUGUGGUAGAUGUCUGGCCAUUCUUAAACAACUUGACAGCUGAUGUGAUUUCUCGUACAGCUUUCGGAAGCAACUAUGAAGAAGGAAAAAUAGUAUUUCAACUCUUAAAAGAACAAGCUAAACUUACAUCCAAGGUCUUUCGAUCUAUUUACAUACCAGGGUGGAGGUAUAUUAUUAAAUUACACUUUUUUAUUGUCAACUUUUUAUUCAACAAAGAAAUACACACACAUGAUUGUACUUCAAUAUUUUAACCUUAUAGAUAAUAAUUAAGGUACAACAUAUAUAUCCUUCACAUCACCCAUAUUUGUUCUUUGAGAUAUAUUUCCAUUGGAUAAUAAUACUUUAAUAAUAUUUCUUUUACAAUAUUUUAAUAUUAUCUACGUGUCAUUCUGUGAUUGGUCCAUGUUAGUGUUAAAUUGAUACGCAAAUGAUAUUAAAGUUUUAUCAAAGUAUCAUUAUUCAUUUCAAUUAAUCAAUUAUUAUGUUAGUAAUAUAGUUGGGAGGAAUAUACGAAGAUCACAAGGUUUUGUUCUAAUUUCUUGUAAUUUAUAGAAAUCAGCUAGGAUAAAUAACAUAAAAAGGAGGUGAAUAAGAAAGAUAAAUUAUAAGAAGAUUCAAGUUAAUUAACAUCACCAUAUUCCUUUUCCAAUUAUUAGGUUUCUACCAACUACAUUAAACAAGAGGAUGAAGAAGAUUGACAAUGAAAUUGGAAAUGUACUUCGUGGAAUUAUCCAAAAGCAAGAGGGUAUUAUGAAAACAUGCGAAGCUUCGAAUGAUAACCUAUUAGGGCUACUAUUGGAAUCCAAUCAAAAAGAGAUUGAAGAUCAAGAAGGACUUAAGAAAGAUGUUGGAAUGAACACCAAUGAUGUAAUUAAGGAGUGUAAGUUAUUUUACUUUGCCGGACAAGAAACAACAUCGGUGCUACUAAAUUGGACAAUGGUGUUAUUAAGUAGGUUUCCCAAAUGGCAAACACUAGCAAGGGAAGAGGUCAUUGAAAUUUUUGGCACAAAAGAACCAGACUAUGAUGGAUUAAGUCGUCUUAAAGUUGUAAGUAUCACUUUUCAAAAUAAAUCUCUUAGCUUUUGAAAGAAUGUUAUUAAUGUUAGUUAAUUAUGGUUACUUGUGGCAUUGUCUUAGGUGACAAUGAUUUUGUACGAGGUUUUAAGAUUAUAUCCACCAGUUACUGCUAUUACAAGAAUCCUAAGGAAGAAAGCUAAAGUUGGAAACAUGAGUUUACCAGCAGGAGCACUAGCUACUAUUCCUGUUGUGUUGGUACAUCAUGAUUUUGAAUUAUGGGGAAGUGAUGCAAAAGAGUUCAAACCAGAAAGAUUCUCAGAAGGAAUCUCAAAAGCAACAAAUGGUAAAGUUUCAUUUAUCCCAUUUGGAUGGGGUCCUCGAAUAUGCAUUGGCCAAAACUUUGCUUUGCUUGAAGCCAAAAUGGCUUUGUCUCUCAUUCUGCAAAACUUCAAGUUUGAGCUAUCUUCCUCCUAUGUUCAUGCUCCGAUUGUAGUCAUAACUGCUCAACCUCAAUUCGGCACACACCUUAUAUUACAAAAAUUAUAGUUUGUUAGCCUAAGAAAAGGUUUUUAAUGCUUUUCUAUAUAUCUUAUGUUGCCUGGCUUCUUCCUAGCUAGAAUUUUCUCUAGGACAAGUGACUUGCACAAAAUAAUAUCUUAUUGUAAAAUUCUGUGAAAUGUUUCUUCAUAUAUUUCUCUUUAUUAUAUUUUUUAUUACAAAUUAUAUAGGAUGGUUUUUCCCUAGUUAUAUUAAAUGUCAAAUAUUUAAAAUUAAUUUUUUGAGUAAAACUUUGUUCAUGUACAAUAUAAAUACGAAUUUAAAAGCAUCAAUAAUAUAAGCUUGUUUUACUUGUUAUAGUUAUACAGAUAAGACUUUUACAAAGAGGAAAUGAAAUGAGGUUCUUUGAUCAAUUUAGAAAACUUUCCUCUAUAAUAUAGUCUCAUAAAGAAAAUAAAAGGUUAUUAUUUAAUAUUUAAACCAUUAUAAUUUUUUUCAUGAUAUUUAAUAAUAAAGAUAGAAAAAUAUAUUUUAAACAUUAAAUACUUAUUAAUAUUAACAUAUGUGCAUGUAAAGAUAUCUCUAUUUUAUCAUGGAAUUCACAUACAAAAUAAGAUUGAAUUUUUUUUUCAGAAAUAAAAAAUAUAAUAAGAUUAAAUACGUUUUUUCACUUAAGUAGAAGAUAAAAUUGAAACUGAUAUUUAUUCAAAACUUUAAUUUUGUUUGGUCUUUAUUUUAGAAAGCAAGAGAUAGAAAACGGGUAGUAGUCAAGGUAUAAUUUUUUAUUUUAAGAGAAAAAAAAAAAUUAGAAAUAGUAUUGCCUCAUGGUCCAUGAAAUGAUGGCUUCAAUGUUUAGUUUCCCCAACAAAACAAUACCAUUUAUUACAACCUGCCCACGUUGUAAUAAUCAUAAAAAAAGCACGACCUUAGCACUUCCAAAGAAGGAUUCUUGUAAAAAAUUAAUGCAUCAGAUGUCAAGAAAAAUAAUAUGAAAUAACAGCUAAUUUCAAGAACUAAGCUAUAAAUAAAUUAAGAUCCACUUUUAGACCAUGGUAUCAGACUAUGACAAAUUAAAUUAACGCGAGUUGUAUUCAGAGAAAAUCCAAAAACGUUUACAGUGAUAUUAUACUACGGGCUUCCUCAGUAGAGAAAAGAUAAAAGCUAAUCUAAAGUUCUUCCUUACUGUGUUAAACAACCUACAAGCAGUACUCAAUACACAGCAAAACUGCAGGUGGGGAAGGAGAAUUGCAUCACCAACAGUAAAUGCUAAGCAGAAAUUAGAAACCAAAGAAGCCAAGCUCACUAGCUUUCUCCUUCUCAAAUGUCUCGAAGUACUGAUAUAUGAUUGUCACUGCAAGCAAUAUUCCAGUCCCUGAACCAAUUGCCCCCAUGAAAUCUG
RNAcentral lists this long non-coding RNA (21274 nucleotides) under Vigna radiata. RNAcentral's name for it is "long non-coding RNA (VRAD_LNC002039)". The record is from RNAcentral. Lineage: Eukaryota; Viridiplantae; Streptophyta; Magnoliopsida; Fabales; Fabaceae.